GGAGCUGUAGCUCAGAGGUAGAGCACUUGCCUAGCAUGCAUGAGGCCCUGGGUUCAAUCCCCAUCAGAGCAA
Molecule: transfer RNA, 72 nt
Filed under: Heterocephalus glaber (naked mole-rat)
Lineage: Eukaryota; Metazoa; Chordata; Mammalia; Rodentia; Bathyergidae
Rfam family: tRNA
About the family: Transfer RNA (tRNA) molecules are approximately 80 nucleotides in length. Their secondary structure includes four short double-helical elements and three loops (D, anti-codon, and T loops). Further hydrogen bonds mediate the characteristic L-shaped molecular structure. tRNAs have two regions of fundamental functional importance: the anti-codon, which is responsible for specific mRNA codon recognition, and the 3' end, to which the tRNAs corresponding amino acid is attached (by aminoacyl-tRNA synthetases). tRNAs cope with the degeneracy of the genetic code in two manners: having more than one tRNA (with a specific anti-codon) for a particular amino acid; and 'wobble' base-pairing, i.e. permitting non-standard base-pairing at the 3rd anti-codon position.
Source: Rfam by way of RNAcentral